This 466-nucleotide ribosomal RNA is filed under the name uncultured bacterium. Its description in RNAcentral is "partial 16S ribosomal RNA". It matches the Rfam family "Bacterial small subunit ribosomal RNA", at positions 339 to 795 of the family's 1533-position model. The record is from RNAcentral.
CUACGGGCGGCACCAGUGGGGAAUAUUGGACAAUGGGGGAAACCCUGAUCCAGCAAUGCCGCGUGUGUGAAGAAGGCCUGCGGGUUGUAAAGCACUUUCGGUUGGGAGGACUGCUUCUAGCACUAAUAUUGUUGGAAGUUGACGUUACCUUCAGAAGAAGCACCGGCUAACUCCGUGCCAGCAGGCCGCGGUAAUGCGGAGGGUGCAAGCGUUAAUCGGAAUUACUGGGCGUAAAGCGCGCGUAGGCGGCUAGAUCAGUCGGGUGUGAAAGCCCCGGGCUUAACCUGGGAACUGCAUCCGAUACUGUCUAGCUUGAGUACAGGAGAGGAGAGUGGAAUUCCACAUGUAGCGGUGAAAUGCGUAGAUAUGUGGAGGAACACCAAUGGCGAAGGCAGCUCUCUGGCCUGAUACUGACGCUGAGGUGCGAAAGCGUGGGGAGCAAACAGGAUUAGAUACCCGCGUAGUC